RNAcentral lists this ribosomal RNA (238 nucleotides) under uncultured bacterium. RNAcentral describes it as "partial 16S ribosomal RNA". It matches the Rfam family "Bacterial small subunit ribosomal RNA", at positions 105 to 334 of the family's 1533-position model. The record is from RNAcentral.
CCGGCACGGUGAGUAACACGUAUGCAAUCCACCUGUAACAGGGGAUAACCCGGAGAAAUCCGGACUAAUACCCAUAAUAUGGGCGCUCCGCAUGGAGAGUCCAUUAAAGAGAGCAAUCUUGGUUACAGACGAGCAUGCGCUCCAUUAGCCAGUUGGCGGGGUAACGGCCCACCAAGGCGACGAUGGAUAGGGGUUCUGAGAGGAAGGUCCCCCACAUUGGAACUGAGACACGGUCCAA